RNAcentral lists this ribosomal RNA (1416 nucleotides) under uncultured bacterium. Its description in RNAcentral is "bacterial SSU rRNA". It matches the Rfam family "Bacterial small subunit ribosomal RNA". The record is from RNAcentral.
GUACGCUGGCGGCACGCCUAACACAUGCAAGUCGAACGAAGUAGCAAUACUUAGUGGCAGACGGGUGAGUAACAUGUGGGUAUCUGCCCUAUGGCCUGGAAUAACACGAGGAAACUUGUGCUAAUACCGGAUAAGUCUUUACGGAGAAAGCUUUAUGCACCAUUGGAUGAGCCCGCACUUGAUUAGUUUGUUGGUGGGGUAAUGGCCUACCAAGACUGUGAUCAAUAGCUGAUUUGAGAGGAUGAUCAGCCACAUUGGGACUGAGACACGGCCCAAACUCCUACGGGAGGCAGCAGUGGGGAAUCUUGCACAAUGGAGGAAACUCUGAUGCAGCGAUGCCGCGUGAGUGAAGAAGGCCCUUGGGUUGUAAAGCUCUUUCGUCGGGGAAGAAAAUGACUGUACCCGAAUAAGAAGGUCCGGCUAACUUCGUGCCAGCAGCCGCGGUAAUACGAAGGGACCUAGCGUAGUUCGGAAUUACUGGGCUUAAAGAGUUCGUAGGUGGUUGAAAAAGUUGGUGGUGAAAUCCCAGAGCUUAACUCUGGAACUGCCAUCAAAACUUUUCAGCUAGAGUAUGAUAGAGGAAAGCAGAAUUUCUAGUGUAGAGGUGAAAUUCGUAGAUAUUAGAAAGAAUACCAAUUGCGAAGGCAGCUUUCUGGAUCAUUACUGACACUGAGGAACGAAAGCAUGGGUAGCGAAGAGGAUUAGAUACCCUCGUAGUCCAUGCCGUAAACGAUGUGUGUUAGACGUUGGAAAUUUAUUUUCAGUGUCGCAGCGAAAGCGAUAAACACACCGCCUGGGGAGUACGACCGCAAGGUUAAAACUCAAAUGAAUUGACGGGGACCCGCACAAGUAGUGGAGCAUGUGGUUUAAUUCGAAGAUACGCGCAGAACCUUACCAACACUUGACAUGUUCGUCGCGACUCUAAGAGAUUAGAGUUUUCGGUUCGGCCGGACGAAACACAGGUGCUGCAUGGCUGUCGUCAGCUCGUGUCGUGAGAUGUUGGGUUAAGUCCCGCAACGAGCGCAACCCUCACUUUUAGUUGCCAUCAUUUAGUUGGGCACUCUGAAAGAACUGCCAGUGAUAAGCUGGAGGAAGGUGGGGAUGACGUCAAGUCCUCAUGGCCCUUACGUGUUGGGCUACACACGUGCUACAAUGGUAUCUACAACAGGAAGCAAGACGGCGACGUUAAGCAAAUCCUUAAAAGAUACCUCAGUUCGGAUUGCACUCUGCAACUCGAGUGCAUGAAGCUGGAAUUACUAGUAAUCGUGGAUCAGCGUGCCACGGUGAAUGCGUUCCCGGGUCUUGUACACACCGCCCGUCACACCAUGGGAGUUGGUUCUACCUUAAGGCAAGGUUUAAAACCCUUGACCACGGUAUAGUCAGCGACUGGGGUGAAGUCGUAACAAGGUAGCCGUA